Molecule: long non-coding RNA, 400 nt
Organism: Lingula anatina
Lineage: Eukaryota; Metazoa; Brachiopoda; Lingulata; Lingulida; Lingulidae
Source: RefSeq, a predicted model, not a curated record
UAAAUGGCGGCUUGGGUUGCGUUAGUCUCUUAGUGGAUAACUUAUUUCAGAGAUUUCAAUAUUUUGCUAGGACUGCUUCAUUGGAGAAAAUGAAGUCGUGCGCCGUUCUUGUGCUUUUGGUGCUGUUUGCCACUGUUGCCAUAGAAGACUCAGCCGGGCAAAGUACACCGUUUGUGACGUGCGACUGCUGUGGUCAUAUUUGUGGAAGCGUUCAUGGGAGAUGCUACUGCGUCGGAAAAUACCCCAACUGCCGCUGUGGUGCAAUCGAUCACCCAAAAUAAAAGAAUAGUCUCCAGUCGAGAGGAAGCAUGACCAGUUGGAAAAUAGGAAACUUGUUACUCAGCUAAAUGUAAAGCUGCUGCAUUUGGAUUUUUUUGUGAAUUUUGUGUUCAACAAUAAG